RNAcentral lists this ribosomal RNA (940 nucleotides) under uncultured bacterium. RNAcentral describes it as "bacterial SSU rRNA". It matches the Rfam family "Bacterial small subunit ribosomal RNA", at positions 8 to 982 of the family's 1533-position model. The record is from RNAcentral.
AGAGUUUGAUCCUGGCUCAAGAUGAACGCUAGCGGCAGGCUUAAUACAUGCAAGUCAGGGGGUAGCAAUACACCGGCGGACGGGUGCGUAACGCGUACACAACAUACCCUUAAGCGGGGGAUAGCAUUGGGAAACUGAUGGUAAUACCCCAUGGUGUUGGGUCAUGGCAUCAUGAUUCAACUAAAGGUUACACUUAAGGAUUGGUGUGCGUAUGAUUAGCUAGUUGGUAGGGUAACGGCCUACCAAGGCGAUGAUCAUUAGGGGGUGUGAGAGCAUGACCCCCCACACGGGUACUGAGACACGGACCCGACUCCUACGGGAGGCAGCAGUAAGGAAUAUUGGACAAUGGUCGGAAGACUGAUCCAGCCAUGCCGCGUGAAGGACGAAGGCGCUCUGCGUUGUAAACUUCUUUUGGACAGGAACAAAAAGUCGGAUGCGUCCGGCCCUGAGGGUACUGUCAGAAUAAGCACCGGCUAACUCCGCGCCAGCAGCCGCGGUAAUACGGAGGGUGCAAGCGUUAUCCGGAAUCACUGGGUUUAAAGGGUGCGUAGGCGGUUCGUUAAGUCAGUUGUGAAAUUCCCCCGCUUAACGGGAGGGACUGCGAUUGAUACUGAUGAACUUGAAUCAGGUUGAGGUAGGCGGAAUGUGACAUGUAGCGGUGAAAUGCAUAGAUAUGUCAUAGAACACCGAUUGCGAACGCAGCUUGCUGGACCUGUAUUGACGCUGACGCACGAAAGCGUGGAGAGCAACAUGAUUAGAUACCCCUGUAGUCCACGCCCUAAACGAUGUUUACUGCUGUCGCUCCGGGGCGGAGUGCGAGCGAAGUCGAUAGUCAACAGCUGAGUAGUACGCAGCACGAUGCAACUCAAGUAUUUGGACGGGUCGCACAUGCGUGGAACCUUGGUCAAUUCCGAUGAUCCGCAGCAUCUUACGUGGACUA